Molecule: ribosomal RNA, 98 nt
Filed under: Gorilla gorilla gorilla (western lowland gorilla)
Lineage: Eukaryota; Metazoa; Chordata; Mammalia; Primates; Hominidae
Source: RNAcentral
GUCUAUGGCCAUCCCACCCUGAACACACCAGAUCUUGUCUGAUCUCUAGAAGGUAAGCAGGGCCUGGUUAGUACUUGGAUGGGAGAAUGUCACAGAUA